GUGCCAGCCGCCGCGGUAAUACCGGCAGCUCGAGUGAUGGCCGAUUUUAUUGGGCCUAAAGCGUCCGUAGCCGGCCGUACAGGUCCGUCGGGAAAUCCGCCCGCUUAACGGGCGGACGUCCGGCGGAAACCAUACAGCUUGGGACCAGAGGACCCGAGGGGUACGUCGGGGGUAGGAGUGAAAUCCCGAGAUCCUCGACGGACCGCCGGUGGCGAAAGCGCCUCGGGAAGACGGACCCGACAGUGAGGGACGAAAGCUGGGAUCUCCAACCGGAUUAGAAACCCCGGUAGUCC
Molecule: ribosomal RNA, 293 nt
Filed under: uncultured bacterium
Lineage: Bacteria
Description: partial 16S ribosomal RNA
Rfam family: Archaeal small subunit ribosomal RNA
Source: RNAcentral